Molecule: transfer RNA, 73 nt
Filed under: Acidobacteriota bacterium
Lineage: Bacteria; Pseudomonadati; Acidobacteriota
Also listed under: 1 other name
Description: Acidobacteria bacterium tRNA-Arg
Rfam family: tRNA
About the family: Transfer RNA (tRNA) molecules are approximately 80 nucleotides in length. Their secondary structure includes four short double-helical elements and three loops (D, anti-codon, and T loops).
Source: RNAcentral
GCGCCAGACGGGUUGAAUCCCCGUCUGGCUUCGAACCAGAGGGUCGGGAGUUCGAGUCUCUCCGGGCGCGCCA